Molecule: long non-coding RNA, 1283 nt
Filed under: Cicer arietinum (chickpea)
Lineage: Eukaryota; Viridiplantae; Streptophyta; Magnoliopsida; Fabales; Fabaceae
Description: long non-coding RNA (CARI_LNC000008)
Source: RNAcentral
AUAGUAGUAACAUCAUUAAAAAAUGGACCAGCAAGUAAAUAAGCAUCUGAAGAUUCAACAAUUUCUGAACAGAAGGAAGAGCUAGCUACACCCCAAUAUGUUCCAAUGAAAUUAGGAUGAUUUUCUGAAACCAUUCCUUUUGCUGAAGGUAAAAUUGCAAUUGCAUAACCUGAUGCAUCUGCCAUAUCCAUGAAUGUGUCACAUGCUUUUGACUUUCGCAUCAUUGAACCACCUAUCAUUACUGGUUUUAUUGCCUUGUUUAAUAUCUUUGCUGCUGCCUCCACACCAAAUUCCAAACUCUGUUCGUUUGUUACUCUGAACAACACAAAAAUAUCAUAAUCAAUACUACAAAAUAUAGUUUUUAAGUUUAUCUGACUUAACAAAUAAGGCAGAGACGAGACUGACAAUCAACCUCUACAACCAGAAUAUUAACACAAACCUAUAAACGGACCGCUCUAAAAUUUUAUAUUUGUAAUUUAUGCCUAAAAUAAAUCCAUAUAGAAAUAAAUUAACUUAUCAGGUAAGCUUAUAGUGUGUAUUGCACUGGGAUUUCUAAAGACAAAAACAAAAUCCGAUGAUAUUCAAAUGAGAUUUUUCACAACUUAAAAAUUGUUUCUUAGUAUUAAAAAACAUACGGAUUUUGAUGGAUUUUUUAGUAGAAUGGAUUUUGUAAGCAUCACCACAUUCUGCAAUCACAGCAUUGUCACAAGACAACAUAUUUUGUAUGUGAUGAUAUAAAACAUUAAUCCUUAAUGGAUCCUUUGUCUUAGAAUGAAUUGGUAAACCAUCAGGGACGAAAAUUCUGCGAUAAUUCUGAAUUGAUGUGGUGUUGCGUUGGAGUCUUUUGGAAAGUGCUUUGAAAAAAUCUUUCAUUGAAAUGAAGUCAAAAGUAGGUCCAUUACCAAUAACAACUCUGUUUGGAAAAACAGUAAUUGAUUUUUCAUUUUUAAUUAAUAAUGUGUAUCCCAUAGUAGUAACAUCAUUAAAAAAUGGACCAGCAAGUAAAUAAGCAUCUGAAGAUUCAACAAUUUCUGAACAGAAGGAAGAGCUAGCUACACCCCAAUAUGUUCCAAUGAAAUUAGGAUGAUUUUCUGAAACCAUUCCUUUUGCUGAAGGUAAAAUUGCAAUUGCAUAACCUGAUGCAUCUGCCAUAUCCAUGAAUGUGUCACAUGCUUUUGACUUUCGCAUCAUUGAACCACCUAUCAUUACUGGUUUUAUUGCCUUGUUUAAUAUCUUUGCUGCUGCCUCCACACCAAAUUCCAAACUCUGUUCGUUUGUUACUC